This 385-nucleotide ribosomal RNA is filed under the name uncultured bacterium. RNAcentral's name for it is "bacterial SSU rRNA". It matches the Rfam family "Bacterial small subunit ribosomal RNA", at positions 28 to 416 of the family's 1533-position model. The record is from RNAcentral.
GACGAACGCUGGCGGCGUGCUUAACACAUGCAAGUCGAGCGGUAAGGCCCUUCGGGGUACACGAGCGGCGAACGGGUGAGUAACACGUGGGUGACCCGCCUCUAGCUCUGGGAUAAGCCUGGGAAACUGGGUCUAAUACCGGAUAUGACUCCACGGCGCAUGUUGUGGGGUGGAAAGCCUUGUGUGGCUAGAGAUGGGCCCGCGGCCUAUCAGCUUGUUGGUGGGGUGANGGCCUACCAAGGCGACGACGGGUAGCCGGCCUGAGAGGGCGACCGGCCACACUGGGACUGAGACACGGCCCAGACUCCUACGGGAGGCAGCAGUGGGGAAUCUUGCGCAAUGGGCGAAAGCCUGACGCAGCGACGCCGCGUGAGGGAUGACGGCC